UUCGGCGGUCAUCGACGGUGGGUCAUACCCGUUCCCAUUCCGAACACGGAAGUCAAGCCACCUGUCGCCGAUGGUACCUGGCCUUCGGGCCCGGGAGAGUAGGUCGCCGCCGGAU
Non-coding RNA from Fibrobacter sp., 115 nucleotides. Lineage: Bacteria; Pseudomonadati; Fibrobacterota; Fibrobacteria; Fibrobacterales; Fibrobacteraceae. The record is from Rfam.